GAACGGGUGAGUAACACGUGGGUGAUCUGCCCUGCACUUCGGGAUAAGCCUGGGAAACUGGGUCUAAUACCGGAUAUGACCUCCUAUCGCAUGGUGGGUGGUGGAAAGAUUUAUCGGUGCAGGAUGGGCCCGCGGCCUAUCAGCUUGUUGGUGGGGUAAUGGCCUACCAAGGCGACGACGGGUAGCCGACCUGAGAGGGUGACCGGCCACACUGGGACUGAGACACGGCCCAGACUCCUACGGGAGGCAGCAGUGGGGAAUAUUGCACAAUGGGCGAAAGCCUGAUGCAGCGACGCCGCGUGAGGGAUGACGGCCUUCGGGUUGUAAACCUCUUUCAGCAGGGACGAAGCGCAAGUGACGGUACCUGCAGAAGAAGCACCGGCUAACUACGUGCCAGCAGCCGCGGUAAUACGUAGGGUGCAAGCGUUGUCCGGAAUUACUGGGCGUAAAGAGUUCGUAGGCGGUUUGUCGCGUCGUUUGUGAAAACCAGCAGCUCAACUGCUGGCUUGCAGGCGAUACGGGCAGACUUGAGUACUGCAGGGGAGACUGGAAUUCCUGGUGUAGCGGUGAAAUGCGCAGAUAUCAGGAGGAACACCGGUGGCGAAGGCGGGUCUCUGGGCAGUAACUGACGCUGAGGAACG
RNAcentral lists this ribosomal RNA (641 nucleotides) under Rhodococcus sp. I13A-01605. Its description in RNAcentral is "bacterial SSU rRNA". It matches the Rfam family "Bacterial small subunit ribosomal RNA", at positions 100 to 755 of the family's 1533-position model. The record is from RNAcentral. Lineage: Bacteria; Bacillati; Actinomycetota; Actinomycetes; Mycobacteriales; Nocardiaceae.